Molecule: unclassified non-coding RNA, 244 nt
Filed under: uncultured Chaetosphaeriales
Lineage: Eukaryota; Fungi; Ascomycota; Sordariomycetes
Description: sequence contains 5.8S rRNA gene, ITS2, 28S rRNA gene
Rfam family: 5.8S ribosomal RNA (bases 1-52)
Source: RNAcentral
AACGCACAUUGCGCCCGCCGGUAUCCCGGCGGGCAUGCCUGUUCGAGCGUCAUUUCAACCCUCAGGCUCCGCCUGGUGUUGGGGACCUGCGCCGCAGCCCCCUAAAGUCAGCGGCGGGUGCGCCUUCGUACCGAACGCAGUAGCCUAUCUCGUUCUGGUGACGGGCGCUCUCCGGCCGUAAAACACGGACGACAGUCCAUCCAUGGUUGACCUCGGAUCAGGUAGGAAUACCCGCUGAACUUAA